UACGGAGGGGGUUAGCGUUGUUCGGAAUACUGGGCGUAAAGCGCGCGUAGGCGGACUAGUCAGUCAGGGGUGAAAUCCCGGGGCUCAACCCCGGAACUGCCUUUGAUACUGCUAGUCUUGAGUUCGAGAGAGGUGAGUGGAAUUCCGGAGUGAUUAGAGGUGAAAUUCGGUAAGAU
RNAcentral lists this ribosomal RNA (176 nucleotides) under uncultured bacterium. RNAcentral describes it as "partial 16S ribosomal RNA". It matches the Rfam family "Bacterial small subunit ribosomal RNA", at positions 524 to 697 of the family's 1533-position model. The record is from RNAcentral.